AUUGAACGCUGGCGGCAGGCCUAAUACAUGCAAGUCGAACGGUAGCACAGAGAGCUUGCUCUCGGGUGACGAGUGGCGGACGGGUGAGUAACGUCUGGGAAACUGCCCGAUGGAGGGGGAUAACUACUGGAAACGGUAGCUAAUACCGCAUAACGUCGCAAGACCAAAGUGGGGGACCUUCGGGCCUCACACCAUCGGAUGUGCCCAGAUGGGAUUAGCUAGUAGGUGGGGUAAUGGCUCACCUAGGCGACGAUCCCUAGCUGGUCUGAGAGGAUGACCAGCCACACUGGAACUGAGACACGGUCCAGACUCCUACGGGAGGCAGCAGUGGGGAAUAUUGCACAAUGGGCGCAAGCCUGAUGCAGCCAUGCCGCGUGUAUGAAGAAGGCCUUCGGGUUGUAAAGUACUUUCAGCGGGGAGGAAGGCGGUGAAGUUAAUAACUUCACCAAUUGACGUUACCCGCAGAAGAAGCACCGGCUAACUCCGUGCCAGCCGCCGCGGUAA
This 504-nucleotide ribosomal RNA is filed under the name uncultured bacterium. Its description in RNAcentral is "partial 16S ribosomal RNA". It matches the Rfam family "Bacterial small subunit ribosomal RNA", at positions 30 to 523 of the family's 1533-position model. The record is from RNAcentral.